AUUGAACGCUGGCGGCAGGCCUAACACAUGCAAGUCGAGCGAGCGGCGGACGGGUGAGUAAUGUAUGGGGACUGCCCGAUAGAGGGGGAUAACUACUGGAAACGGUGGCUAAUACCGCAUACUGUCGGCUAACCAAUAUGGGAUUAGCUAGGAGGUAAGGUAAUGGCUGACCUAGGCGACGAUCCCUUGCUGGUCUGAGAGGAUGAUCAGCCACACUGGGACUGGGACACGGCGCAAAGUCCUACGGAGGCAGCAGUGGGGAAGAUUGCACAAUGGGCGAAAGCCUGAUUCAGCCAUGCAGCGUGUAUGAAGAAGGCCCUAGGGUUGUAGAGUACUUUCAGUCGGGAGGCGUUACCGACAGAAGAAGCACCGGCUAACUCCGUGCCAGCAGCCGCGGUAAUUC
RNAcentral lists this ribosomal RNA (403 nucleotides) under uncultured bacterium. RNAcentral describes it as "partial 16S ribosomal RNA". It matches the Rfam family "Bacterial small subunit ribosomal RNA", at positions 30 to 526 of the family's 1533-position model. The record is from RNAcentral.